Molecule: long non-coding RNA, 904 nt
Organism: Cavia porcellus (domestic guinea pig)
Lineage: Eukaryota; Metazoa; Chordata; Mammalia; Rodentia; Caviidae
Exons: 3
Source: RefSeq, a predicted model, not a curated record
AGCGCCUAGGAAAGAAGUUUGCCCAAAGCUGCUGCUUCGAGGUGCAAGGAGGAAGUGGUGAGAAUCCAGGCGCGUCUGAGGGCCAUGGAUGGAAAGCCGGCGACACAGGCUUCAGCGGUGACACUGCAGGGUGCACAGGCUUCAGUGGCGACACUGUAGUGCGCACAUGGAGGCCAGGGCGUGAGCAGCUCAGCCUCAGGUGCAGCUGCGCAGAGAGCUACAUAAAAAAAUUGUGCGGCACACUGGUGAGCUGACAGGUGAAGAGGUAGACACAGCAUCACGGAGACCUACUACAGCAACAGAAAAACAAAAAAGAUGCCAACUGUGCCCUACAAGAAAGUACAGGAAAAGAAAACCUGCACGCUAUCAGUCUACACACUGUGUAAUAUAAUAAGAAGCUCCUGACAAAACAGCAAGACACUAAGAUGUCCAGUAUGUCCUACAAAAAAAGGCCAGGAACACAAAACAUGCUGUCAGGGUAAGCAAUGUGGGUAUAUGGGACUUGCUAUUGUUCUGUGUGUAGAUGCCUCAGGUAUGAUAAUUGAAGUUUUUUUUUUUUGUUUUUUUUUUUUGAGAGAGUGCUGUUGGUAUUUUCACUGUAGCUCAUAUGGGAAUUUAUUUCUGAUGUUCUUCUUUAAAUUUUGUAUACCAAGAAUCAGUUGAUGUUAAAAAUGUCAAUGUAUUUUUAUAAACACACAGUAAAUGUUAAAAACUCAAUACUUCAUCUUCAUGAUGUUCUUCCUGUUGUCAUUGUUUAAUAUAAUAAAACUCAUAAUAAAAUUAAAAAUUCAUCAAUAGAAAUAUUCUGAAGAAUAUGUGUGGGUCUGGAAGGCCCAUGUUUAUGCACCUUGCUGACAAAAUUAGUCUUUUGCGCUAAGGUUGUGUCUUGGUACCUGGUACUUUG